Molecule: non-coding RNA, 121 nt
Filed under: Erythrolobus madagascarensis
Lineage: Eukaryota; Rhodophyta; Bangiophyceae; Porphyridiales; Porphyridiaceae
Source: RNAcentral
CGAAGGAAGUCAAGAAGAAAGAAAGAAUCGCUGAAAAACUGCUGUCGCUGUAUCCGCUCUUCUGUUUAUGGUUUUGGUGCGUCUUGCCCGUUGUUUUUUUUUUUUUUUUUUUUUUUUGCUC